AGGAGUGACAACUGCAGGCUGCUGGAGAAACAGCAAGGUUCUCAGAAUUUUUCUUCUACCUUGAUCAAAUGUCACAGAAGGUACUUCCUGGUAUACACACAGGAGUUGCCUGCAGAAAACGUCCUGCAGAAUGUUCCAGGAAUUUGAUCUCCAUGUACUGUUCUGAGAGGCUAGCCUGCGGAGAAUGAAAGUAAGGAGCAAGCAAGUGAUCAUUACUCACCACCUCAAUCCACCCAAGGGCUUUCACCUGGAACCCAAAGUGCGUAAGUAAUUAAGAUUUGUGUUCUUUGGGGAAAGGAGUAUCGACAAAGAUGUAGCUUGCUUCUCAUGUGAGAAAAGUACUUACAUACCUACACAGUUCUACUUGGAAGGCCUAUGCAUUUUACUAUAUGUAAAUUACAACUCAAUUUUA
This 412-nucleotide long non-coding RNA is filed under the name Homo sapiens (human). RNAcentral describes it as "HSALNT0327588". The record is from RNAcentral. Lineage: Eukaryota; Metazoa; Chordata; Mammalia; Primates; Hominidae.